UCUCCUCGCAGUAUGAGGCGACACAGAACCUCACAGAGGUUGUGGACACAGACAGGAAGCCUCGCCUGCAGCGUUAAGUCAAACCACAGUGUUACUUCCUGGAAAACAUCGGCUUUUGUUUUUUAUCUCAAACCAAUGAGCUUGUUUUUUUCUUUCCUCGGCUACUGCAGCAUGUGGAAGGGCUCCGACUAACUGUACAACUUGAAUCGGUCACUUUGGACUCCAGACUUUGGGGUGAAGGUGUCCAGACGCUUUCUCCCCGUCAUCAUGCUGAAGUACCACAUGCACAGGGGCAUCUUUUGCAAACAACAAACCACAUUCUGAGGACGUGCUCGUGAGAAGAAAGAGGAGACAACACAACCACCGACGCAGACUUCUUCCUUUGCAGUAUCAGUGUAAAGCCCUCAUCAGCACGCUGCAGGCGGAACAGCCGCUGUUCUGACGAUGUUAAACACCAGACGUCACCCACACACACUGCCGCCACAUCCAAUGGCAAGAGACUGUAAAGCGCUUUGAGAGGUCGCUGUGCCCGUCUGACGACAAGCAGCCGCGAAAACUGAGGCGUUCACAUGGCACAGGUGGUAAGCCAAUGCGGCCUCAAUCAGACCAGGAGUUGUGUGUUUGUGUCUGCUUCAUGGUUUGCGUGUGGGCUCUUGGUGUGCGUGUUACCGUGCUGAUUGGUGUGCGAAUGAGCGUGUGCGUGUUUCUGCUUGAUCUCACCGAUUUCAUUUGUCUGCUGUUGAUCGUGCAUGUGUAGGUAUAUGUCUUCGCCCUCGCCCUGUGUGUGUCCUUCAUGUGCUGUGUGCGUUACAUCGUUGUGCGUCUGAUCUUCUUGUGUCUGCGUGUGCGUGUGCGUGUGCGGCUCCUCCG
This is a long non-coding RNA of Pleuronectes platessa (European plaice), 870 nucleotides long. RefSeq lists it as uncharacterized. The record is from RefSeq and is a predicted model, not a curated record. NCBI's taxonomy places the organism in Eukaryota, Metazoa, Chordata, Actinopteri, Pleuronectiformes, Pleuronectidae. The transcript is spliced from 4 exons.